UACGUAGGGCGCAAGCGUUUGUCCGGAAUUAUUGGGCGUAAAGAGCUCGUAGGCGGCCUGUCGCGUCUGCUGUGAAAUCCCGGGGCUUAACCCCGGGCGUGCAGUGGAUACGGGCUGGCUGGAGGCAGGCAGGGGGAGAACGGAAUUCCCGGUGUAGCGGUGAAAUGCGCAGAUAUCGGGAGGAACACCGGUGGCGAAGGCGGUUCUCUGGGCCUGUCUGACGCUGAGGAGCGAAAAGCGUGGGGGAGCGAACAGG
Molecule: ribosomal RNA, 256 nt
Filed under: uncultured bacterium
Lineage: Bacteria
Description: partial 16S ribosomal RNA
Rfam family: Bacterial small subunit ribosomal RNA
Source: RNAcentral